This 337-nucleotide ribosomal RNA is filed under the name uncultured Desulfobulbus sp. Its description in RNAcentral is "bacterial SSU rRNA". It matches the Rfam family "Bacterial small subunit ribosomal RNA", at positions 1046 to 1382 of the family's 1533-position model. The record is from RNAcentral. Lineage: Bacteria; Pseudomonadati; Thermodesulfobacteriota; Desulfobulbia; Desulfobulbales; Desulfobulbaceae.
UGGCUGUCGUCAGCUCGUGUCGUGAGAUGUUGGGUUAAGUCCCGUAACGAGCGCAACCCUUGUCCUUAGUUACCAGCACGUUAUGGUGGGCACUCUAAGGAGACUGCCGGUGACAAACCGGAGGAAGGUGGGGAUGACGUCAAGUCAUCAUGGCCUUUAUGACCAGGGCUACACACGUACUACAAUGGCCGAUACAAAGGGCAGCGACAUCGCGAGGUGAAGCCAAUCCCAUAAAAUCGGUCUCAGUCCGGAUUGGAGUCUGCAACUCGACUCCAUGAAGUUGGAAUCGCUAGUAAUCGUGGAUCAGCAUGCCACGGUGAAUACGUUCCCGGGCCUU